GAUAACCAUUGGAAACGAUGGCUAAUACCGCAUAAUAGCUUCGGCUCAAAGAGGGGGACCUUCGGGCCUCUCGCGUCAGGAUAUGCCCAGGUGGGAUUAGCUAGUUGGUGAGGUAAUGGCUCACCAAGGCGACGAUCCCUAGCUGGUCUGAGAGGAUGAUCAGCCACACUGGAACUGAGACACGGUCCAGACUCCUACGGGAGGCAGCAGUGGGGAAUAUUGCACAAUGGGCGCAAGCCUGAUGCAGCCAUGCCGCGUGUAUGAAGAAGGCCUUCGGGUUGUAAAGUACUUUCAGCAGUGAGGAAGGUGGUGUCGUUAAUAGCGGCAUCAUUUGACGUUAGCUGCAGAAGAAGCACCGGCUAACUCCGUGCCAGCAGCCGCGGUAAUACGGAGGGUGCGAGCGUUAAUCGGAAUUACUGGGCGUAAAGCGCAUGCAGGUGGUUUGUUAAGUCAGAUGUGAAAGCCCGGGGCUCAACCUCGGAAUUGCAUUUGAAACUGGCAGACUAGAGUACUGUAGAGGGGGGUAGAAUUUCAGGUGUAGCGGUGAAAUGCGUAGAGAUCUGAAGGAAUACCGGUGGCGAAGGCGGCCCCCUGGACAGAUACUGACACUCAGAUGCGAAAGCGUGGGGAGCAAACAGGAUUAGAUACCCUGGUAGUCCACGCCGUAAACGAUGUCUACUUGGAGGUUGUGGCCUUGAGCCGUGGCUUUCGGAGCUAACGCGUUAAGUAGACCGCCUGGGGAGUACGGUCGCAAGAUUAAAACUCAAAUGAAUUGACGGGGGCCCGCACAAGCGGUGGAGCAUGUGGUUUAAUUCGAUGCAACGCGAAGAACCUUACCUACUCUUGACAUCCUCAGAAGAGACUGGAGACAGUCUUGUGCCUUCGGGAACUGAGAGACAGGUGCUGCAUGGCUGUCGUCAGCUCGUGUUGUGAAAUGUUGGGUUAAGUCCCGCAACGAGCGCAACCCUUAUCCUUGUUUGCCAGCGAGUCAUGUCGGGAACUCCAGGGAGACUGCCGGUGAUAAACCGGAGGAAGGUGGGGACGACGUCAAGUCAUCAUGGCCCUUACGAGUAGGGCUACACACGUGCUACAAUGGCGCAUACAGAGGGCAGCCAACUUGCGAAAGUGAGCGAAUCCCAAAAAGUGCGUCGUAGUCCGGAUUGGAGUCUGCAACUCGACUCCAUGAAGUCGGAAUCGCUAGUAAUCGUAGAUCAGAAUGCUACGGUGAAUACGUUCCCGGGCCUUGUACACAC
This 1253-nucleotide ribosomal RNA is filed under the name Vibrio neptunius. Its description in RNAcentral is "bacterial SSU rRNA". It matches the Rfam family "Bacterial small subunit ribosomal RNA", at positions 142 to 1390 of the family's 1533-position model. Lineage: Bacteria; Pseudomonadati; Pseudomonadota; Gammaproteobacteria; Vibrionales; Vibrionaceae. The record is from RNAcentral.